RNAcentral lists this ribosomal RNA (765 nucleotides) under Staphylococcus aureus. RNAcentral's name for it is "partial 23S ribosomal RNA". It matches the Rfam family "Bacterial large subunit ribosomal RNA", at positions 683 to 1452 of the family's 2925-position model. The record is from RNAcentral. Lineage: Bacteria; Bacillati; Bacillota; Bacilli; Caryophanales; Staphylococcaceae.
CUGAAUAGGGCGUUUAGUAUUUGGUCGUAGACCCGAAACCAGGUGAUCUACCCUUGGUCAGGUUGAAGUUCAGGUAACACUGAAUGGAGGACCGAACCGACUUACGUUGAAAAGUGAGCGGAUGAACUGAGGGUAGCGGAGAAAUUCCAAUCGAACCUGGAGAUAGCUGGUUCUCUCCGAAAUAGCUUUAGGGCUAGCCUCAAGUGAUGAUUAUUGGAGGUAGAGCACUGUUUGGACGAGGGGCCCCUCUCGGGUUACCGAAUUCAGACAAACUCCGAAUGCCAAUUAAUUUAACUUGGGAGUCAGAACAUGGGUGAUAAGGUCCGUGUUCGAAAGGGAAACAGCCCAGACCACCAGCUAAGGUCCCAAAAUAUAUGUUAAGUGGAAAAGGAUGUGGCGUUGCCCAGACAACUAGGAUGUUGGCUUAGAAGCAGCCAUCAUUUAAAGAGUGCGUAAUAGCUCACUAGUCGAGUGACACUGCGCCGAAAAUGUACCGGGGCUAAACAUAUUACCGAAGCUGUGGAUUGUCCUUUGGACAAUGGUAGGAGAGCGUUCUAAGGGCGUUGAAGCAUGAUCGUAAGGACAUGUGGAGCGCUUAGAAGUGAGAAUGCCGGUGUGAGUAGCGAAAGACGGGUGAGAAUCCCGUCCACCGAUUGACUAAGGUUUCCAGAGGAAGGCUCGUCCGCUCUGGGUUAGUCGGGUCCUAAGCUGAGGCCGACAGGCGUAGGCGAUGGAUAACAGGUUGAUAUUCCUGUACCACCUAUA